UGUAUUUAUCUCUCAAAAAUCUAAUCAAUGACUGGAGGAAGCGACGUGCUUUUCUCCCUGCGCUCUGCCUAGCGUCAAGCAAAAGUAAGCUCACCUCCUCCAUCCCCCAUCCUCCAUCCCCAUCUUCAUCCCCAUCUUCAUCUUCAUCUUCCCGAAACCCUAACCUGCAACUCCAACCCUUCUCCAUGACCACCCUCUCCUCCUCCCCUUCCUCCGCCAACCCCAGCAGCAACCCCGCCUUCCUCUCCCCCCCGCAAACCCUAAUCCCCCCCGAUUUCGCCUUCGAUCCCGACCCCGACUCCGACUCCAUCCCCUUCCCCAAUUCA
This 326-nucleotide long non-coding RNA is filed under the name Eucalyptus grandis. RNAcentral describes it as "long non-coding RNA (EGRA_LNC000825)". Lineage: Eukaryota; Viridiplantae; Streptophyta; Magnoliopsida; Myrtales; Myrtaceae. The record is from RNAcentral.